AACGAACGCUGGCGGCGUGCUUAACACAUGCAAGUCGAACGGGUUCAUAAUGAGUAGCAAUACUUGAUAUGAAUUAGUGGCGGACGGGUGAGUAACACGUAGGUAACCUACCCUUGAGCGGGGGACAACCCAGGGAAACUUGGGCUAAUACCCCAUAAGACCACGGGGUGUGAAUCUUGUGGUAAAAGUAGCGAUACGCUCAUGGACGGGCCUGCGGCCUAUCAGGUAGUUGGUGAGGUAACGGCCCACCAAGCCGAAGACGGGUAGCCGGGCUGAGAGGUUGAACGGCCACACUGGAACUGAGACACGGUCCAGACUCCUACGGGAGGCAGCAGUGGGGAAUAUUGCACAAUGGGGGAAACCCUGAUGCAGCGACGCCGCGUGGAGGAUGAAGGUCUUCGGGUUGUAAACUCCUUUUAUUGGGAAAGAUGAUGACGGUACCCAAUGAAUAAGCCACGGCUAACUCUGUGCCAGCAGCCGCGGUAAGACAGAGGUGGCGAGCGUUGUUCGGAAUUACU
RNAcentral lists this ribosomal RNA (518 nucleotides) under uncultured Magnetobacterium sp. RNAcentral describes it as "bacterial SSU rRNA". It matches the Rfam family "Bacterial small subunit ribosomal RNA", at positions 28 to 555 of the family's 1533-position model. The record is from RNAcentral. Lineage: Bacteria; Pseudomonadati; Nitrospirota; Thermodesulfovibrionia; Thermodesulfovibrionales; Magnetobacteriaceae (SeqCode).